CAGUAGACGCGGUAGUACGUAGGUGGCAAGCGUUGUCCGGAAUUAUUGGGCGUAAAGGGCUCGCAGGCGGUUUCUUAAGUCUGAUGUGAAAGCCCCCGGCUCAACCGGGGAGGGUCAUUGGAAACUGGGAAACUUGAGUGCAGAAGAGGGGAGUGGAAUUCCACGUGUAGCGGUGAAAUGCGUAGAGAUGUGGAGGAACACCAGUGGCGAAGGCGACUCUCUGGUCUGUAACUGACGCUGAGGAGCGAAAGCGUGGGGAGCGAACAGGAUUAGAUACCCCUGUAGUCCCUGUCUCUUAUAC
RNAcentral lists this ribosomal RNA (301 nucleotides) under uncultured bacterium. RNAcentral describes it as "partial 16S ribosomal RNA". It matches the Rfam family "Bacterial small subunit ribosomal RNA", at positions 509 to 807 of the family's 1533-position model. The record is from RNAcentral.